RNAcentral lists this ribosomal RNA (631 nucleotides) under uncultured archaeon. RNAcentral describes it as "bacterial SSU rRNA". It matches the Rfam family "Archaeal small subunit ribosomal RNA", at positions 147 to 776 of the family's 1478-position model. The record is from RNAcentral.
UAAUACUGGAUAGGCAAUUAUUCCUGUAAUGGUUUUUUGUUUAAAUGUUUUUUCGCCUAAGGAUGGGUCUGCGGCCGAUUAGGUAGUUGGUUAGGUAAUGGCUUACCAAGCCUUUGAUCGGUACGGGUUGUGAGAGCAAGAGCCCGGAGAUGGAACCUGAGACAAGGUUCCAGGCCCUACGGGGUGCAGCAGGCGCGAAACCUCCGCAAUGUGAGAAAUCGCGACGGGGGGAUCCCAAGUGCCAUUCUUAACGGGAUGGCUUUUCUUUAGUGUAAAAAGCUUUUGGAAUAAGAGCUGGGCAAGACCGGUGCCAGCCGCCGCGGUAACACCGGCAGCUCUAGUGGUAGCAAUUUUUAUUGGGCCUAAAGCGUCCGUAGCCGGUUUAAUAAGUCUCUGGUGAAAUCCUGUAGCUUAACUGUGGGAAUUGCUGGAGAUACUAUUAGACUUGAGACCGGGAGAGGUUAGAGGUACUCCCAGGGUAGAGGUGAAAUUCUGUAAUCCUGGGAGGACCGACUGUUGCGAAGGCGUCUAACUGGAACGGUUCUGACGGUGAGGGACGAAAGUUAGGGGCGCGAACCGGAUUAGAUACCCGGGUAGUCCUAACUGUAAACAGCAUGCGGACUUGGUGUAG